Molecule: ribosomal RNA, 460 nt
Filed under: uncultured bacterium
Lineage: Bacteria
Description: partial 16S ribosomal RNA
Rfam family: Bacterial small subunit ribosomal RNA
Source: RNAcentral
CCUACGGGCGGCAGCAGUGAGGAAUAUUGGUCAAUGGGCGCGAGCCUGAACCAGCCAAGUAGCGUGAAGGAUGACUGCCCUACGGGUUGUAAACUUCUUUUAUAAGGGAAUAAAGUGAGGCACGUGUGCCUUUUUGUAUGUACUUUAUGAAUAAGGAUCGGCUAACUCCGUUCCAGCAGCCGCGGUAAUACGGAGGAUCCGAGCGUUAUCCGGCUUUAUUGGGUUUAAAGGGAGCGUAGAUGGGUGGUUAAGUCAGUUUUGAAAGUUUGGGGCUCAACCGUAAAAUUGCAAUUGAUACUGGUAGCCUUGAGUACAGUUGAGGUAGGCGGAAUGCGUGGUGUAGCGGUGAAAUGCUUAGAGAUCACGAAGAACUCCGAUUGCGAAGGCAGCUUACUAAACUGCCACUGACAUUGAUGCUCGAAAGUGUGGGGAUCAAACAGGAUUAGAUACCCCAGUAGUC